This 253-nucleotide ribosomal RNA is filed under the name uncultured bacterium. RNAcentral's name for it is "partial 16S ribosomal RNA". It matches the Rfam family "Bacterial small subunit ribosomal RNA", at positions 524 to 776 of the family's 1533-position model. The record is from RNAcentral.
UACGGGGGGGGCAAGCGUUGUUCGGAAUUACUGGGCGUAAAGGGCUCGUAGGCGGCCAACUAAGUCAGACGUGAAAUCCCUCGGCUUAACCGGGGAACUGCAUCUGAUACUGGAUGGCUUGAGAUUGGGAGAGGGAUGCGGAAUUCCAGGUGUAGCGGUGAAAUGCGUAGAUAUCUGGAGGAACACCGGUGGCGAAGGCGGCAUCCUAGACCAACACUGACGCUGAGGAGCGAAAGCCAGGGGAGCAAACGGG